This 57-nucleotide ribosomal RNA is filed under the name Follicularia botryoides. Its description in RNAcentral is "partial 28S ribosomal RNA". The record is from RNAcentral. Lineage: Eukaryota; Viridiplantae; Chlorophyta; Chlorophyceae; Sphaeropleales; Radiococcaceae.
CGACCUGAGCUCAGGCAAGGCUACUCCCUGAACUUAAGCAUAUCAAUAAGCGGAGGA